RNAcentral lists this long non-coding RNA (2246 nucleotides) under Triticum aestivum (bread wheat). RNAcentral's name for it is "long non-coding RNA (TAES_LNC001648)". The record is from RNAcentral. Lineage: Eukaryota; Viridiplantae; Streptophyta; Magnoliopsida; Poales; Poaceae.
GACAUCGUUCACUGCUUCCACCAUGGGUCGUUCAAUGACACAACGUCGAUUCGUUCGACACCGCAGCUCAGGAGUUUCCCUCCUUUCCCAACCUCCACUGUGCUCCAGCUAAGGUCUCUCAUGUUCUCCUCUCUCCCGUAACCUCUGUCUCUUCUUUCGCUUGAAUUCCUGCUAAUGUUAGUUGUAGCUUGAAUUCCUGAAAUAUUAAUGUAUUUUUACUCUGCUUGCAAAUGCGUGAAAUGCUGCUGGUGCUUCCCUAUGCGUGACGAUUCUGAUUGUUUAGCACAAAGGGGGCAAGUACUUGUUGUAAUGCUUGACACCAAUCUACUAUCGGAAGUUAGAGAAAGAAUAGUAGCAAGUCCAAGCUCUCUUUGAGUGGAGGUACAUAACCAAUUCAAAUGCUUGUUUUGGUUAUGUUUAAGGAAACUCAUAAUUUUUAUCUUUGUCCACUGUUAGCUAUGUAAAACAACUCAAUAAAAUUUCACUUUUCAAUGCUUUAAUAGUUCAAUUGGUAAAAACAGUAGGUGUUCAUUCUACAAAAAAACACUGACUUUUAUAUGUGUAAAGAAAGAAAUGGAAAUAUGUAAGUUCAUACAGGGACAUAUAUAUGCUAAACUUGCGUCCAACACACGAGCAUUUGCAUCCACCAGUAAGGGGCAUUUGCAUCCCGCACAUCAGCUACAUGCUCAACAGUUGCACACUGCCGCCAUGGACAUGCACAAAUGAUAUUAAGUAGAAGUUUGUUAGUUCAGUUUUUUUAUUGAUUUACCUUGUUUAAGUAGUAGUGCAGCAAUAAAAGGUGUAGUUGUACUGAGUUUUAGUUUCUAUAUGGGGAACCCAAUGUCCAUUUAUUUUGGUUUACAGUUCAGCUUGUCUAUUCUUUUCAGUUUGUAUGCUUUAUUGUGCAUAAUCUUGAGGAAAUCCCCAAAAAUCAUGUGUGCACUCAAGGUAAUUAAGUGGCUUUGUCAAUUCUGACAGUCCAUCCCAGACUAAGCAAAAUAGUACAUGUUAGUCUUGGUUUGUGGUUAGACAUGAAAUCUGGUUUCAUAGAUUCUUCUAGUCAAACUGGAAAUACCAUGUUUUAGGUAAUCCUACUAGUUCAGUGCUAGUACUUCUAUUUUAUGUUUAUCUUACAAGUGGAAAAUGUUAAGGCUGGUCAUGUUGCCAAUUUUUCAUAGAUUUCCUAAGUAGCCUGAGACCCAUCCUGUCCUCUAUACAGAUUCAGAGUUUAACACGUCAAUGGAAAUUUGUUCUCAAAACUGAAAUUGUUCCGCAUGUGCUGAUAGACUAGUUGUUAAUUAUUGGAGUGUUUCGUUCUUGCAGAAUAAAAAUAUGAUCUAUGCAUUGCUUCUUGGCCCAGCUGAGAGAACACUCAUGUUAAAAAGUAUAAAGCAGUUCUGAAGCAAUUCCCAGUGUCUUUUAAGGCAUUCAUAGUUAAAAAAAGCAACGACAACCUCCUCCGUUUGAGUUGAGCACUGGUCAUCGUCCAAGUUGAGCAGUAGGUGCCGUCCAAGUUCAAAGAGGGUUGUAUACAAGUACAAAAGUUUCUUUCAGUGAGAAAAAAUGCAGGGUUUUGAUAAAUAUUCUCUAUGAUUCAAUUGUUCAUCCUUAGACCUUGGCAAAAUUCAGUCUAUUUUUCUAUGAUGGAGGUACACAUGAAGUCAUGUGCAAUGGCUAUCCCCCUUGUGCUUCUAAGAUUCAUAUUUUGUUUCUUCAAGUGUGUUGUGUGCCAAUCUGAUAUGUAAAACAAAGUAAAAAAGUGAAAGUGUCACUAAAGACACUUGGAAGUACAAAUGUAAAAAAUAAAUAAGUUCUGAUUCUCGUCAGGUAGGAAGUUUUGGAGAAGAAAACAUAAGUUUUGGAAAGAAGGAAUGGUAAAAAUGUAAGUCUGUUCAAGUAUAUAAACCAUAAAGGUACGAUGGUGAUGACAUUAACAGUAACGAUAAGGAUGAUAAAGAAAAUUAAAAACUAAAACUAAAAGAACAUCAAGUGAUUAUUUUUUGAGAAGUACAAACUCUCUACUACCAUCAGUACCAUAAAUUAAAAAUUAAUAAAUCGGAAAAUUCAAAUGGGAAAAGUUCAAGUCGCAAAAUGCGAGAAGUCCAAAACAUCGUUCAAAAAAAUUGAGUUCAAAAAAAGAAACACACAAAACAUUUUCUUUUUGAAAAAAAUAUCAUUCAAUUCAAUGAUAUAAACCAUGCAAGUUCGAGGACUAUGAUAUCCUAAACCAUUGAAAAGUUACGAGG